GCAGCCGCCGCGGGAAUACGUAGGGUGCAAGCGUUAAUCGGAAUUACUGGGCGUAAAGCGUGCGCAGGCGGUUAUAUAAGACAGAUGUGAAAUCCCCUGGCUCAACCUGGGAACUGCAUUUGUGACUGUAUAGCUAGAGUACGGCAGAGGGGGAUGGAAUUCCGCGUGUAGCAGUGAAAUGCGUAGAUAUGCGGAGGAACACCGAUGGCGAAGGCAAUCCCCUGGGCCUGUACUGACGCUCAUGCACGAAAGCGUGGGGAGCAAACAGGAUUAGAUACCCCUGUAGUCCCUGUCUCUUAUAC
This 302-nucleotide ribosomal RNA is filed under the name uncultured bacterium. RNAcentral's name for it is "partial 16S ribosomal RNA". It matches the Rfam family "Bacterial small subunit ribosomal RNA", at positions 508 to 807 of the family's 1533-position model. The record is from RNAcentral.